CCCUACUUACCAUGUGGAGAUGAGGUAGCUUUCAUUGCUGCCCGCAUCCUGAAUGCCCAAUUCUCACCACACAAAAUGGAGCAAUGGGUAUUCAUUUGGGCAACAUCCCGCCACACAAUUUCUUUCCCGGGAGAUCAAGCAAGGUCUGCUUUCUCCUUAU
Non-coding RNA from Encephalitozoon hellem ATCC 50504, 160 nucleotides. The record is from RefSeq and is a predicted model, not a curated record. NCBI's taxonomy places the organism in Eukaryota, Fungi, Microsporidia, Unikaryonidae.